Molecule: ribosomal RNA, 485 nt
Filed under: uncultured bacterium
Lineage: Bacteria
Description: partial 16S ribosomal RNA
Rfam family: Bacterial small subunit ribosomal RNA
Source: RNAcentral
UUGAACGCUUGCGGCAUGCCUUACCCCUGCAAGUCGCACGGCAGCACGGGUGCUUGCACCUGGUGGCGAGUGGCGAACGGGUGAGUAAUACAUCGGAACAUGUCCUGUAGUGGGGGAUAGCCCGGCGAAAGCCGGAUUAAUACCGCAUACGAUCUACGGAUGAAAGCGGGGGACCUUCGGGCCUCGCGCUAUAGGGUUGGCCGAUGGCUGAUUAGCUAGUUGGUGGGGUAAAGGCCUACCAAGGCGACGAUCAGUAGCUGGUCUGAGAGGACGACCAGCCACACUGGGACUGAGACACGGCCCCGACUCCUACGGGAGGCAGCAGUGGGGAAUUUUGGACAAUGGGCGAAAGCCUGAUCCAGCAAUGCCGCGUGUGUGAAGAAGGCCUUCGGGUUGUAAAGCACUUUUGUCCGGAAAGAAAUCCUUGGCCCUAAUACGGUCGGGGGAUGACGGUACCGGAAGAAUAAGCACCGGCUAACUACGUG